GAUGAACGCUGGCGGCGUGCUUAAUACAUGCAAGUCGAACGGAAAGGUCCUGCUUUUGUUCCUUUCUCGUUUGGCGCACGCGUGUGUAACACGUGUGUAUCCUCUCCUUGUCUUUGUGAUAUCUUUACGAAACUGCGGCUCUUAUCCCGUAUAAUCUCUUGCUGCAUGUUGUUCGUUGGUAAGUUUCGGCGGUGCGGGAUGGACUCGCGGCUUAUCAGCUUCUUGGUGUCGUAGUUGCUUACCAAGCCUUUGACGGGUAGCCGGCCUGAGAGGGUGACCGGGCACAUUGGGACUGAGAUACGGCCCAGACUCCUACGGGAGGCAGCAGUGGGGAAUAUUGCACAAUGGGCGGAAGCGUGAUGCAGCAACGCCGCGUGCGGGAUGACGGCCUUCGGGUUGUAAACCGCUUUCGCAUGUGACGAAGCGUGAGUGACGGUAAUGGGUAAAGAAGCACCGGCUAACUACGUG
RNAcentral lists this ribosomal RNA (468 nucleotides) under uncultured bacterium. RNAcentral's name for it is "partial 16S ribosomal RNA". It matches the Rfam family "Bacterial small subunit ribosomal RNA", at positions 28 to 507 of the family's 1533-position model. The record is from RNAcentral.